UUGAGAAAGUCAUAGUGGCUAUGGUGUUGGCUUGAAACCAGUUUUAGGGGGUUCGACUCCCUCCUUUC
RNAcentral lists this transfer RNA (68 nucleotides) under Mephitis macroura (hooded skunk). RNAcentral's name for it is "tRNA-Ser". RNAcentral also lists the same sequence under 1 other name. The record is from RNAcentral. Lineage: Eukaryota; Metazoa; Chordata; Mammalia; Carnivora; Mephitidae.